CCUACGGGUGGCAGCAGUGGGGAAUAUUGCACAAUGGGGGGAACCCUGAUGCAGCAACGCCGCGUGAGUGAAGAAGGAUUUCGGUACGUAAAGCUCUAUCGGCAGGGAAGAAAAAAGGACGGUACCUGAGUAAGAAGCCCCGGCUAACUAAGUGCCAGAAGCCCCGGUAAUACGUAGGGGGCAGGCGUUAUCCGGAAUUAGUGGGUGGAAAGGGAGCGUAGACGGGUAUGCAAGUCGGGAGUGGAAGGCGGCAGCUCAAUCGCCGAAUUGCCGUGGAAACUGUAGGGCUUGAGUGCAGGAGGGGAGAGCGGAACUCCUGGUGGAGCGGUGGAAUGCGUAGAUAUCAGGAGGAACACCAGUGGCGAAGGCGGCUUACUGGACUGUAACUGACGUUGAGGCUCGAAAGCGUGGGGAGCGAACAGGAUUAGAUACCCCAGUAGUC
This 442-nucleotide ribosomal RNA is filed under the name uncultured bacterium. RNAcentral describes it as "partial 16S ribosomal RNA". It matches the Rfam family "Bacterial small subunit ribosomal RNA", at positions 338 to 795 of the family's 1533-position model. The record is from RNAcentral.